GACGAACGCUGGCGGCGUGCCUAAUACAUGCAAGUCGAGCGAGCGGAACCAACAGAUUUACUUCGGUAAUGACGUUGGGAAAGCGAGCGGCGGAUGGGUGAGUAACACGUGGGGAACCUGCCCCUAAGUCUGGGAUACCAUUUGGAAACAGGUGCUAAUACCGGAUAAUAAAGCAGAUCGCAUGAUCAGCUUUUGAAAGGCGGCGUAAGCUGUCGCUAAGGGAUGGCCCCGCGGUGCAUUAGCUAGUUGGUAAGGUAACGGCUUACCAAGGCGACGAUGCAUAGCCGAGUUGAGAGACCGAUCGGCCACAUUGGGACUGAGACACGGCCCAG
This 332-nucleotide ribosomal RNA is filed under the name uncultured bacterium. RNAcentral's name for it is "bacterial SSU rRNA". It matches the Rfam family "Bacterial small subunit ribosomal RNA", at positions 28 to 334 of the family's 1533-position model. The record is from RNAcentral.